GCAAACUUGGUCAUUUAGAGGAAGUAAAAGUCGUAACAAGGUUUCCGUAGGUGAACCUGCGGAAGGAUCAUUAUCGUAGGGCUUCUGCCCUGUCGAGAUAGCGUCCUUGCCUAUUUUUUGGAGUACCUUUUCGUUUCCUCAGCAGGCUUGCCUGCUACUGGGGACCUUUAAAACUCUUUGUAAAUACAGUAAUUGUCUGAAUAAAAAAACAAAAAUCAAAACUUUCAACAAUGGAUCUCUUGGUUCUGGCAUCGAUGAAGAACGCAGC
RNAcentral lists this unclassified non-coding RNA (268 nucleotides) under uncultured fungus. Its description in RNAcentral is "partial contains small subunit ribosomal RNA, internal transcribed spacer 1, and 5.8S ribosomal RNA". The stretch from base 1 to 73 matches the Rfam family "Eukaryotic small subunit ribosomal RNA", at positions 1759 to 1831 of the family's 1831-position model. The record is from RNAcentral. Lineage: Eukaryota; Fungi.